AACCACCUGAGUUGAGUAUGAUUACCUGCUGAACUUAAGCAUAUCAGUAAGCAGAGGAAAAGAAACAAACAUGGAUUCCCUGAGUAACUGCGAGUGAAACGGGAUGAGCCCAGCGCUUAAGGUUGUCGGCCCUUGGCUGAUGACCGGUGUAGCGUAUAGAGCUUUCGUUCACCUUGUUCAGGCUGGUUUAAGUCUCGUUGGAACGCGGCGGCCUAGACGGUUUUACCCCGGUCAACCUGGCUGGACUUGGUGAGUGUUGGUUCUGGGAGUCGG
RNAcentral lists this ribosomal RNA (273 nucleotides) under Bursaphelenchus conicaudatus. RNAcentral's name for it is "partial 28S ribosomal RNA". It matches the Rfam family "Eukaryotic large subunit ribosomal RNA", at positions 1 to 268 of the family's 3401-position model. The record is from RNAcentral. Lineage: Eukaryota; Metazoa; Nematoda; Chromadorea; Rhabditida; Aphelenchoididae.